Molecule: non-coding RNA, 716 nt
Organism: Vicugna pacos (alpaca)
Lineage: Eukaryota; Metazoa; Chordata; Mammalia; Artiodactyla; Camelidae
Source: RefSeq, a predicted model, not a curated record
CGAAACGCCUGAGAAGGUGGACGGCUGCCACAGGGUGAUGUAUGCUCCUCCGGCGGUGAAGGAGGUCUACUUUUGGGAACGUGUGCAUACUUCGAGCAUUCCUUCUGCGUGAGGGAAAGAGAAACCUGGGCUUCGCGUGCACUGAUCGUCCAGCUCUCGGGGCUGCGUGUGGGCUGUCCCCAGAGUGAGCUUUAAGGUGUGAAGAGAGGAGGUGGUGCUGCACCUGCGCAGAUUCUCAGAGGCAAAGGCGGUGACAGCCGGAGUGCAGAAAAGGGAGCCAAGACUAGAGCAGUGGCCGUAGAGAUAAUUCUGCAGACGCCUCGCCCUCAAAAUUCUAUCACGUAACACCUGGGACAUCUGAAGCAACUUCAUGUAGGGCCCACUUAAAUCUCCCAAGAGAGUCUGCCUACAAAACGUUUUAACAUGAAAAGUGAGAAGCAGCGGACAGCCACUCGCUCUGCACUAGCAAAGCUGAGGACUCGGAGACCAAAGCCAUCCCUAAAGGAGGGGAGAGGGAGGCAGUGCACUCCUGCCUUCCUGACAGGUUCUGCUUCUUCACAAAGGACAAUUUCGUAUGUAUUUACAUGCAAUGUAAUGUAUAUGUGCAGUCAAACUGUAAUAGUUCUACAUAAUAAAACUGAAAAAAGAAAAAUUGACUAAUUAAUUGUUUAAAAAAAAAAGCAGACAAGAGCCCAGAUUUGGGAUGCUCUUGAAUG